GACGAACGCUGGCGGCGUGCCUAAUACAUGCAAGUCGAGCGAACCCUUCGGGGUUAGCGGCGGACGGGUGAGUAACACGUAGGCAACCUGCCUGUAAGAUCGGGAUAACUACCGGAAACGGUAGCUAAGACCGGAUAGCUGGUUUUCUCGCAUGAGGAGAUCAUGAAACACGGAGUAAUCUGUGGCUUACAGAUGGGCCUGCGGCGCAUUAGCUAGUAGGUGAGGUAACGGCUCACCUAGGCGACGAUGCGUAGCCGACCCGCGAGGGUGAUCGGCCACACUGGGACUGAGACACGGCCCAGACUCCUACGGGAGGCAGC
Molecule: ribosomal RNA, 320 nt
Filed under: uncultured Paenibacillus sp.
Lineage: Bacteria; Bacillati; Bacillota; Bacilli; Caryophanales; Paenibacillaceae
Description: bacterial SSU rRNA
Rfam family: Bacterial small subunit ribosomal RNA
Source: RNAcentral